RNAcentral lists this unclassified non-coding RNA (307 nucleotides) under plant metagenome. RNAcentral's name for it is "partial contains 5.8S ribosomal RNA, internal transcribed spacer 2, and large subunit ribosomal RNA". The stretch from base 1 to 105 matches the Rfam family "5.8S ribosomal RNA", at positions 50 to 154 of the family's 154-position model. The record is from RNAcentral.
GAAAUGCGAUAAGUAAUGUGAAUUGCAGAAUUCAGUGAAUCAUCGAAUCUUUGAACGCACAUUGCGCCCGCCAGCACUCUGGCGGGCAUGCCUGUUCGAGCGUCAUUUCAACCCUCAGAACCCCUUGCGGGAUCUGGCGUUGGGGAUUGGCAUCCAGCCAGCCCCGAAAUCUAGUGGCGGUCCCUCCGCGACCUCCCCUGUGCAGUAGCGAUACCUCGCAGCGGGACAGCGGUCUGACCACGCCGUAAAACCCCCAACUUCUCAAGGUGGACCUCGAAUCAGGUAGGAAUACCCGCUAAACUUAAGC